RNA transcript from Notothenia coriiceps (black rockcod), 3410 nucleotides. It is a transcript of the gene named acyl-CoA-binding protein homolog, with no coding region annotated. The transcript has 18 exons. The record is from RefSeq and is a predicted model, not a curated record. NCBI's taxonomy places the organism in Eukaryota, Metazoa, Chordata, Actinopteri, Perciformes, Nototheniidae.
GGGUAAAGGUAACAGGACCGCUGCUGCUGCUGCUGCUGCGGACAUAAACACACUGACUACAGAUAUUUCUACUGUGCAUUGAUACUGUAAGCAAAGUCGACUCAUCCUGAAGAAGAAAUGGAUAAUCUUUUGUCAAAGGCCCCCCCAGAGACGACCUUCCAGCACCAAGACGCCCUGCCAUCCCUGCCGGUCCCAUCACUGGAGACCAGCCUCUCAAAGUACCUGAAUGCAGUUCGUCCAUUUGCAUCUGAGAAAGAGUUUAAGGCUACGUUGGACAUUGUGAAUACAUUUCAAGAGGGUGUUGGCCAAGAGCUGCACCAAAAGCUACUGCAGAAAGCCAGAACAAACAGGAAUUGGCUGGAAGAAUGGUGGUUAGAUGUUGCGUAUCUGGAGGUUCGCAUCCCAUCUCAGCUGAAUGUGAACUUUGCCGGCCCGGGGCCCUACCUGGAGCACUGCUGGCUCCCCGAAGAGGGAUCUCAGCUGCAGAGGGCUAGUAUUAGCACAUGGCACACACUACAGUACUGGAACCUGAUCCGCACAGAGAGGCUGCGUCCUCAGAAAGCCGGCAAACUACCGUUAGAUAUGGACCAGUUCAGAAUGCUGUUCUGCACCUGCAAAGUACCUGGAGUGAAGAAGGACACCAUCCGUAACUACUUCAAGACAGAGAGUGAGGGGCCGUGCCCUUCCCAUGUGGUGGUGAUGUGUCGUGGACGGAUGUUCACAUUUGAUGCAGUUUGUGAUGGACAAAUCCUCACUCCUCCAGAAAUACUCAGGCAGCUGAGCUAUGUGAAAGAGUGCUGUGAGGGGGAGCCAGAGGGAGACGGAGUGUCGGCCCUCACCUCAGAAGAGAGGACUCGCUGGGCGCAGACCAGGGAGCAUCUAAUAAGCAUCGAUCCACACAAUAGCAACAUCCUGGAGACCAUCCAGAGCAGCCUGUUCGUCUUAUCUCUGGAUGAAACAAAACCCUACUCCUCUCCAGUGAACUACACAAAUAUAACCAGGGCGGCCCUUACAGGCGACCCCACAAUCCGCUGGGGCGACAAAUCGUACAACUCACUCAGCUUCGCAGAUGGAACUUUUGGAACCACUUGUGAUCAUGCACCUUUUGAUGCCAUGGUGCUGGUGUCUUUGUGUUGGUAUAUGGACCAGCAAAUCAAAGCUACAGAAGGCAAAUGGAAGGGAUCAGAGGCAGUCAGAGCCGUGCACCGUCCUGAGGAGCUGAUAUUUACUGUGGACGAAAAAGUCCGGAGUGACAUCCGCCACGCCAAACAGCAGUACCUGGAGACGGCACAGGACCUGCAGAUUGUCUGUUACGCCUUCACAGCGUUUGGAAAAGAUGCCAUCAAACAGAAGAAGCUGCACCCAGACACUUUUGUACAACUAGCAAAGCAGUUGGCCUUCCAGCGAAUGCACAAAAGGCCGGGCAGUUGUUAUGAGACCGCAAUGACUCGCAAGUUCUACCACGGCCGGACGGAGACGAUGCGUCCCUGCACCCAGGAGGCUGUCAGCUGGUGUAACGCCAUGAUGGACCCCUCGUGUGAUGCUGGUAGCAGGAGGAAAGCCAUGCUGGCAGCCUUCAAUACGCACAACAACCUGAUGGUUGAAGCCCAGGAUGGACAAGGUUUUGAUAGGCAUCUUCUUGGGCUGUAUCUUAUCGCCAGAGAGGAGGGACUUCCCACUCCAGACCUCUUCAUGGAUCCCCUUUACUCAUUGAGCGGUGGAGGUGGUAACUUCGUGCUGUCGUCCAGCCUGGUGGGCUACACCACAGUUCUGGGGGCCGUGGCUCCCAUGGUGCACCACGGCUACGGCUUUUUCUAUCGCAUCAGAGACGACAGGAUCGUGGUCUCUGUCUCGGCGUGGAACUCUUGCCGUGAGACAGACGCUGCGACUCUGUUCAACAACUUCUCCAGCUCCAUGCAUGAGAUGCUCCACCUGGCCACCACAUCUCAGCUAUAAGUAACACUUUAUUGCCCUCAUGGUUCACUGGUAAUAGCCGACAGCUAGCGAUAGUCAUGUUUGUUCAGAGCACAGAUCAAUGCAAAGUUACUGAAUCUGAUCUGCUGAUAGCCACUGGUUUGGGCAUUAAAUCAAAUCUUAUCAGCUUUUCUGGUUCAUGUACUGAUUUAUAAUUUUUAGUGUAAAUCUUUAUGAUUCUUGUGUAAAUUUUUUGGAGAAUGUUUCAUUUUAAAUUCUGACAGUAUUAAUCCCUUUUUAAGAUAAGCCAAUGCUAUGGCUCAAGACCUUUUUAUGGUGUUGGUUCUUCAGGGGGUAAAUAUUUACCAGACGCUGUGACCCAUGGACAAUUGAAGAAAAUAGCUUCUGUUUCUUUUAGUUGUUGUCCUUUAAUUAUUUUUGCAAUUAUGCAUUCCGAUUUAACUCAUUAAAAAUAACUUUAUAAGUUAAAAAUAAUUGAUUUGUUUUAUGUUAUGGAUUAGUACAAAUCUAGAGAAUAGCACAUAACUUUAAAAGUUGGACUGAAAUUAUUUUUGUAGAAGAAAUCUGUUAAUAUGGUUUUACUGUUUGUUUUUAUGUUUGCCUACAAUCAAAAUCGUGAUAGGAAUUACAGUGUUGAUAGUUAUAGUGGACAACACAGGUAUCGGUAAGCUGUUAGCUGCAUUCACCCUAUAUACUGUAGGAAAGACGGCUAACACUACCAAGCUAUGAUGGAAGUAACGUACCAUUUAGCUAGCUUCCACUUUUUAAUCAAACCAUCAAAUUUCAGUUUGACUUUUGGGAACUAAGAGUGGCCUUCAGAUCUAUUGAUGUUGAAAAGUUUUGGUUUGCUUAUGGUUGCCUUACUUGCUUGGUCACCGCACCAUAAAAAGCCUACACACUAUGCAGCUUUCCUUUAUCUGUACGUCACGCUCGAGAUUGUUAAAUGUUAAUACGAAUGUAUAUUAGGAUUGCUGCUGUAAAACGUGAAUGAGCCCAAAAAACUGUGAUUUCCAUCCACUCAUUUCCUCUGCAUUUAAAAACAAAUCUGUCUGUGUGGACAAAGGUUUUGGAAAAAAUGUGAAUAAGAUUGUACUUCAUUUAAACAUACAAUGAACACUAGCUUAAUAAUUAACAUUUUUAAUACUUUUGUUUUAUUAUUCAAAAUGAUAAAUGUAUUUGAUCUUGGAAAUGUUGCGAACUCUAAUCUGAUGUUAAAGUAAGUGGAUGAUUCAAUUACUGAAUACAAAACUUUAAUAGUUACAUAAAGGCAAGUUUUACAAGAAGGUUAGUCCUUCCUUGCAUUUGUAGAAACAAUAGGAUUCCUUGUGAUUGCAACCAAAGUGUGACAAUAAAAAAUUAAACUCUGAACAGCCCUGUGUGUACGAUAUUUUUUAUUUUAGGCACUUCUAUUCCAUUAUUAACACUGACUGUAACAAAAAGAUACUCUUCAUCAUGAAAAUCAAGUAAUUAUAAAA